GACGAACGCUGGCGGCGUGCUUAACACAUGCAAGUCGAGCGGUAAGGCCCUUUCGGGGGUACGACGAGCGGCGAACGGGUGAGUAACACGUGGGUGACCUGCCCUUAGCUCUGGGAUAAGCCUGGGAAACUGGGUCUAAUACCGGAUAUGACCCCAUGACGCAUGUUGUGGGGUGGAAAGCCUUGUGCGGCUAGGGAUGGGCCCGCGGCCUAUCAGCUUGUUGGUGGGGUGAUGGCCACCAAGGCGACGACGGUAGCCGGCCUGAGAGGGCGACCGGCCACACUGGGACUGAGACACGGCCCAGACUCCUACGGGAGGCAGCAGUGGGGAAUCUUGCGCAAUGGGCGAAAGCCUGACGCAGCGACGCCGCGUGAGGGAUGACGGCCUCGG
This 390-nucleotide ribosomal RNA is filed under the name uncultured bacterium. RNAcentral's name for it is "bacterial SSU rRNA". It matches the Rfam family "Bacterial small subunit ribosomal RNA", at positions 28 to 420 of the family's 1533-position model. The record is from RNAcentral.